GUACACACCGCCCGUCACACCAUGAGAGUUGGUAACACCCGAAGUCCGUGAGGUAACCUUUUGGAGCCAGCGGCCGAAGGUGGGAUCGAUGAUUGGGGUGAAGUCGUAACAAGGUAGCCGUAGGUGAACCUGCAGAAGGAUCA
This 143-nucleotide ribosomal RNA is filed under the name uncultured eukaryote. RNAcentral describes it as "partial small subunit ribosomal RNA". It matches the Rfam family "Bacterial small subunit ribosomal RNA", at positions 1383 to 1525 of the family's 1533-position model. The record is from RNAcentral.